AUGGGUGACAAGAGUGAGACUCCCUUCUAAAAAAAAAAUCUAGCAUUCAACUAAUUUCUCGUUUUAUCUGUUUGAGUGUCCAGAAAUGAGAAGGGAAGUUAUAGAUGUGUAUAGUUGGUAGUGUGAGUCCCAAUUUUGCAGAUUAUGAAGGUGAGGGAUGGACAGGUGUCAUGACUCUGCUCCUCUAAAAGCUACAGAUGCAAGAAUUUGAGGGAACCAAAGCUAUGUGGCCCUUUUCAGUGGGUUUGCAAUAUGUGCUUCAAGUCAGUGAACACCUCUUAAUAGAAUGCAUUCAAGAACAUCAGCCCAGACAGUAGGCUGACCUGUGAUGCAGUACUAAUCUAAGACCAGAGUCCUCUUCAUGAAAGAGGCGUUCUCACCACUUAAUGUGUUUGCCACCUGGCCUGUGCUUAUGUUUGGUAGGUUCUGAAGUAGGUCCAAACACUUCCAUUUGGGAAACAAACCACUGGGUCUAUGAAAAACGGUCUUUGAAUAUAAUCAUCUGACAGCAUGUCUGACUGUACCUAGUAGCUCUUCCAGGUUGCAUCCCUGGGAUAAUGUGGAGUCUGCUGUACUGCUAUAACCCUGACAUUUCUAAUCUCAUUGAAUGACACUGCCCGAUCCCCAAACUGGAAACCAGGGAGCUUUUCCUGGCUUUUCAUUCAUUGACACAUGUAAUUUGACAACAAAUUCUGUUAAUGCUAUUCCUUGAAUUUGUCUCCAAUCCCCACUUCAUCAUUACCUCCAGUGCCUUCACUGAUCUUUAUCUAUUGCAAGAAACUCCCGAUUCUUCCCUCUGCCACCAGAAAGCAUGCAGCCUUCACAAAAUGCCAUGGUGUAUCUUUGUAUCUUAGGUGCCUAACAGGGUCCAUAAUAAGCACUUAAUAAACAGUCAUUGAAUUUAAAAAAUGUUCAGCAAUAGUAUCUUGAAACAGAUCUACAGCUGCUUAUAAAUAGACAAGCAGAUGUAUAAGUCUGUGGGCAGCUACUCAUGACCCCUUUUCAUGGUAAGAUUUCUUCAAGACAAAUACCUUCCAAAGUGAAUUAUUUGUAUGAUAAAGGUUUCAUAAGUAUUUAAUGUUUUGUUUUACAAACCCAGAUCAUAGUUCCUUCCUGGUUUCUCGAGUCACUUAGAAACAAGGAUCAUUAGUUUUUAAACUGAUUUAAAAGCAGGUUCAAAUUCGAGGUUAAAAGAAAGGAAGGGAAGUACAUGGUCCCACAUUUCCUGCUUGGCUUGCAAUUUUAAAUAAGAUGAAUUAGUUUUACAAUCAUAUUUAGAUCAAUGAAGUACCUGCUUCAGUGCCUGGCUGAGAGAUGCCUGGAAAUAAACAAGUGUGAGCACCAAACGGAAGUCUCUGUAAGAAAACCAUCUGGAGCAUUUGGCAAAAUAAAGACAAUUCCCUUGGCAGUUCACAGCACAGCUGACUUCCCUGGUUUUUACAAUUUAGACAGAAAUUCUGAUCGACAGCAAAGGCUACUCUUUUAAGAGAGGCCUCAACACAAUUUGAGUGAAUUCACAGGAUGAAUCAUGCAAGUCCAUGUGGUUGAGAAGCAGAAGAGUGAGGACCAGAAUCUGACUCCUCAAUUCUAUUACUUUUUACACCACAGCUGUUGCAAAAAUAUCCCAUAGGGCUUUGAAUCACCUCUAGAAGGAUGGCGAGAACACAGUGCUCCAGACAUUUAAAACUGAAUCAAAGGAGGAAAGAAGCAGUAAAACUUGCUGCAGGGAAUCAUCUUAGCAGAAAGAUCAGCUUAGAUGCCUUUUUACUUCUAAUCUCAUAUGGUGGUAGAGCAAACGGACUGUGAAGUUCCCUAUGGAAAUUGUUAACUAUUGAUUAGAUCUUUUUACAUACACUUUUUCUUUUUAGAAGGAUCCUGAUUGGAGACUUACAAUGUAUUUUGUGCAUGGUCAAUUGUUUGUAAGCGGGUUUAAACUUUGUGUUUGAAGAAUAUAUUUACAGAAUAGAAUUUUGUGCAGCACUUUUUUGAAGGCAUUAGCUUCCAAAUGCAUUUAGCAUGGCACAUUCACCAGGCCACCCUUUAACCCACGGUGUUUGAGAAGAGCUGGGUACCAUUUUGACCAGCUUGCUUGUGACACCGCAUGUUCCAAUAAAACACAAUCUGUCUUUGGGUUGGCUUGGCCAUUUCUAUAGCUCUUAUACUUGUCUCCUCCUUGUGCCAAAUUAUACCUCAAUGUUCUGACAGGCAAUAUUAGGAAGUAUAUUGUCUUGGUUACAGCAAAAGUACAUUUCUGGUGUGGACACAAAAUGUAGCCACUUGCCUAUGACAUGGCACGCAGGUGGAUAUAUGUACUUUUAUUAAUGUCAGCUGAAGCAGAUGGACAAAACACACCAUAUGGUGGAGGCUACUGACUGCCCUCCUUUUGUUUCAUUGUAAAGAUGUAGCUGGACACAUGGUUCAGUGAGACUCAUUUCCCAGCCUUCUUACAAUUACUUGAAGACUUGUAACUAUGCUGCUGGGGUAGAGUGUGAGGGGAUGUGGUAUGUGCUGCUUCUGGGCUUGGGCCUUAUGAUACUGGCCGGGUGCUCUUUUCACAAGCUGGAAUUUAAAUCUGCUUCCAACUCUGUUCAGCAUAUUUUAGAGCAUGAAAGGGCAAACAUUUUCUUCAUAUAAAAGGGCCAAAUAGUAAGUAUUUUCAGCUUUGUGACAAUUCACUCUACCCUGUGAUGUGAAAGCAGCCAAAAGAUGAAAUGUAAACAAAUGGUCACGGCUGUAUUCCAAUAAAAUGUUACGUGCAAACCCAAGUGGCAGGCUGGAUUUGGUCCAUGGCCUGUAGUGUUCUAAUCCCUGGCUUGUGAAGAAACUGGAAAGAAACUGUGUAACCUACAUGGCUGCAAGGAACAGAGCUGCCCCAGACCAGAUCGCUCUCUCCAGAUAGUUUGAGAGAGGGAAACUUUCUUUUAAGCCACGGUACUUUGGGGCCUCUUUGUGCAGCAGUUUGGCUUUUCCCCUACUCAGUACACAUGGGCGGGCACUGUUGACCAUUUUUAGAUUCAGCUUCACAUUUGAGAGCAGGAAGCUUUAGUCCAGAGCUCUGGCCAUGUGAGUGACUCUUCACUGGGUCUUAUAUUUCCCCAGAAGGCCCGAAGUUAUUCCAUCCAUUUUAGUUAAGGAAGGUAGAUUAGUUUUGUCAGUAGUCAUCUGUCUAUUUGGAUUAUUGUCUUACCCUUUCUUGAAACCGAUGGAGGUAUCCCCAGGGUCUAUUUGAAGACCCCCGAGCUGCCUGGGGAAGCAUAGCGCACAGAUAUAAUACAUGAAGGACGUAAAAUUUUUCUUUGGGGAUUUUUUGUUCCUCCAUCCAAAUUCCUUUUAUGCCUCCUCAGAUCUCUCUCCUAUGGCUUAGUCUUAAGUAUUGGUUUUCCUCAGCUAUAAAGUUAUAGCUCAUAAAACUUAAUAUGUCAUCUUUGUUUUGCUUUUUCUAGUAAGUUGUAUGACCUUUACAGAAAAUUUGGAAAAUACAGAAAAACUGAAAAGUUACACAUGAUACAACUCACAACCACAAUCAUAGGAAACAAUUUUAGUGCAAUUUCUAUACAGUUUUGGCUUGUACUGGGACAUAGGCUUAGAAAAAAAAAA
Sapajus apella (tufted capuchin) is the source of this 3597-nucleotide long non-coding RNA. RefSeq lists it as uncharacterized. The transcript has 2 exons. NCBI's taxonomy places the organism in Eukaryota, Metazoa, Chordata, Mammalia, Primates, Cebidae. The record is from RefSeq and is a predicted model, not a curated record.